This 93-nucleotide transfer RNA is filed under the name Micromonospora sp. AKA109. Its description in RNAcentral is "tRNA-Thr". The record is from RNAcentral. Lineage: Bacteria; Bacillati; Actinomycetota; Actinomycetes; Micromonosporales; Micromonosporaceae.
CCGGCGACGGCGGGGCGGGUGCCGGCCGGUGGUCCCGGCCGGCACCCGCCGGGCGGUCAGGCGGAGGCGGGUUCCUUGGCGUGCUCCUCGGCC